AGUGAACGCUGGCGGUAGGCCUAACACAUGCAAGUCGAACGGCAGCACAGUAAGAGCUUGCUCUUACGGGUGGCGAGUGGCGGACGGGUGAGGAAUACAUCGGAAUCUACUUUUUCGUGGGGGAUAACGUAGGGAAACUUACGCUAAUACCGCAUACGACCUACGGGUGAAAGCAGGGGAUCUUCGGACCUUGCGCGAUUGAAUGAGCCGAUGUCGGAUUAGCUAGUUGGCGGGGUAAAGGCCCACCAAGGCGACGAUCCGUAGCUGGUCUGAGAGGAUGAACAGCCACACUGGAACUGAGACACGGUCCAGACUCCUAAGGGAGGCAGCAGGGGGGAAUAUUGGACAAUGGGCGCAAGCCUGAUCCAGCCAUACCGCGUGGGUGAAGAAGGCCUUCGGGUUGUAAAGCCCUUUUGUUGGGAAAGAAAAGCAGCAGGUUAAUACCCCGCUGUUCUGACGGUACCCAAAGAAUAAGCACCGGCUAACUUCGUG
Molecule: ribosomal RNA, 492 nt
Filed under: uncultured bacterium
Lineage: Bacteria
Description: partial 16S ribosomal RNA
Rfam family: Bacterial small subunit ribosomal RNA
Source: RNAcentral